GGGCAACUGGGCAAAGUGACACCUUGUUGGUGAUGUUGAUCUUAUACCUGCCAGGGACAAAGCAGAUCAACCUAGCUUGAUGCCUGACUUGGUGACCAAAGCUGUUCUAUACCUAGGACAGAUGA
Molecule: small nucleolar RNA, 125 nt
Filed under: Mus pahari (shrew mouse)
Lineage: Eukaryota; Metazoa; Chordata; Mammalia; Rodentia; Muridae
Description: predicted gene, 23339 (MGP_PahariEiJ_G0034400.1)
Rfam family: Small nucleolar RNA SNORA48
About the family: The snoRNA ACA 48 has been identified to guide pseudouridylation of the residue U3797 in the 28S rRNA subunit. Its host gene EIF4A1 (eukaryotic translation initiation factor 4A1) is shared with U67 and snoRNA mgU6-77
Source: RNAcentral